Erigeron canadensis is the source of this 457-nucleotide long non-coding RNA. RefSeq lists it as uncharacterized. The transcript has 3 exons. The record is from RefSeq and is a predicted model, not a curated record. Lineage: Eukaryota; Viridiplantae; Streptophyta; Magnoliopsida; Asterales; Asteraceae.
AAAACUUAAAACCCUAAACGCAACCUAAGAGUCUCUACGCAAAGGAGGAAACGGAAAAGUUGUGGCCUCGCCGCCCUUGGGUUUUGUCGAGAUACUUGAUUCGGUUUUUCAUAGCACACUAAGUUCCAACCCGAGUUGAGAAACAUAGAGAAAGGCUAGACGAAGGAUCGCAAGACUUGUUUUUGAUUUCGGUUCCGACUAGGUUUUUAUAAAUCGAAGUGUUCCUUAAAGUGUGGAUCUCAUUGCUAAAGACUUGAGGUUAGGCGCUAAUGGAGCUAGUAGAUUUGCGAGAGGUGGGGUAGCUAUUGAUGUUAAAUAAAGAUGACUUUUAGUUACCCAUUUGUUAGUAGAUUUAAGAAGACUUCUUUAUCAUAUAUGCCAGUUGGCGUUUCAUAUUGUUGAUUGUGGAUUUUCUUUUAUUAUUGUGAUGAUACGAUGAUAGUAACACCAUUUAAAG